GGGGAAGAGAUGGGAUCUAUUCACCAACCCCCAGCCCGCUGGCACCAGGCAUGCAUAUGCCCUUCCUGUGGCAUCCUACUAAUAUGUUGUACAUUCCCACAUAACAGGAAACAUAUGGACAUAUAGGUAUGUCCUUCCAUUGCCACCCACGGAAUUUCUCCUCACCUUGACAAGAAGCUCCCAUUCGCUAGUCAUGCUGACCAUUUUCUCACUCUUCUUCCUCAGAAUCUGUUUUUUAAAUGACUCCCAAGUAUUCAGAGAACGGAGUAGUGGGGACUUUGUCUUCUCAUUGACUUCUUUGAGACAGAGCUUUGCUCUUCUCACCUAGGCUGGAGUGCAAUGGCACGAUCUCGGCUCACUUCAACCUCUGCCUCCCAGGUUCAAGCAAUUCUCCUGCCUCAGCCUCCCAGGUAGCUAGGAUUACAGGCACCUGCCACCACACCCAGCUAAUUUUUGUAUUUUUAGUAGAGACAAGGUUUCACCAUUUGGCCAGGCUGGCCUCAAACUCCUGACCUCAAGUGAUCCACCAGGCUUGGCCUUCCAAAGUGCUGGGAUUACAGGUGUGAGCCACUGUGCCCGGUCCUCCGUUACUUUUUUCUUUUUUCUCCCACAGCUCUACUCCUAGCUUUAACUAGUGAGGCUUGGGUUAAGCAGCCAGUUCGCUUUCAGGUGGGAGACUGUUGGGAUGCAUAGCCUUGGUAGGACUCCUCUCUGCCCACAACUGGAAAGGAUUCCCAGUUGGAGUGGUAAGAUAUAGAGAGGUUGUAUAGAAAGAGUAGGGUAAAGGGGCCUGAGAUAAGAUGACUAAACCAGAAGACAGAAGCCAAGUUAAAAUCUAGAAAAAUCCACCUCCACUCUAGCACCCACUAGAGCAAGAUUCAUGCUUCAACAGCAUCUAGGAACAUAUGAGCCCCAGACUGUGUAAUCUCUGUUGAGUGGACAACUUACACAGUCUUCACUGAGGUGCCAUUAGCUAUUCUUGUCCAGUCAGUUCUGUUCCCUCAGUCUAUUCCCAGCACAGCAGUCACUGUGAUCUUUUUAUUUUUUGUCACUGUUCUGCCCAAACCAUUCUGUGGAUUCCCAUUACACUUAGAAUAAAUCCAAAGUCUUUUAUUACCUUACUUGACCUCAUCUGCAACUACUCUUCUGCUCAUUUAUCGUCUCCAGCUACCUUGGUCUGCUUACUGUUCUACAUACGCUCUUCCCUCAGGCUUUUGCAUAAGCUGGUCCCUUUGCCUGGAAGAUCUUUCUAUCGUAUCUUAGUGUGGGUUACUCCUUCAUUAUCUUCAGAUACUUUAAAAAAUUAUCAUAUAUUAUUCUUCAUAAAGAAUCCCCGGUUUCUUUUUGGUGUUUUUUCUGCUUUCCACUAUUGAUCAUGUUGGCUAGAGACUAAUUCCUACUGCCUGCCUCCAUCAUAGAAUCCAAGCCUUCCUACAGGCCCCUCAUAGUGUGCUCCUGAGACUCUGAACUGUACGUGAGUGAAACAAGAAAUCUAGAAAUUUUGAAGGCCAGAAUCCUCACAGUAGCAGCAGUAACAGAGGUGAUGACAGCAGCAGCAGCUGUGGCAACAUACCGACCAGGCUAUUCCUGCCCAAGUGUGUUGCAAUGUUUCCUGCUUCCUGAAUUCCUUCUGAGCUUCCUUUUUUCCUGGUGUUCCCGGUCAUCGUCUUCCUGCUGUCACUGACUCUGGGAGCCGUAUCCUUCCAAUAUCAGGUAGACUAGAAUUCCAUAAAGCCCAUUGUGCCUGUUAUUAAAAUUGUAGAACAACUUUCUUUCCAUUAUUUUCCUAGUACAUAUUUUUUUUCAUCUAUUUAUCUUGUGUUUUUUAAAAAUACAUUCCAGAUGUCUCCUUCAUAGUUAUAUACUAUUCAGUUAUAUGCUAUUGAAUUUUAAAAAGGCAAAUCUGAUAAUUUCUCUUUGUAAAAAUUCCUUUGAUCCAAGUAACCACGUUUAUUUCCGAUUUCCUGUGUUUUCCUCCUUAGUUAUAUAGACUCUGAUAAGUCAAGUAAGCA
Long non-coding RNA from Callithrix jacchus (white-tufted-ear marmoset), 2012 nucleotides. The record is from Ensembl. NCBI's taxonomy places the organism in Eukaryota, Metazoa, Chordata, Mammalia, Primates, Cebidae.